Cyanistes caeruleus (blue tit) is the source of this 4055-nucleotide long non-coding RNA. RefSeq lists it as uncharacterized. The record is from RefSeq and is a predicted model, not a curated record. Lineage: Eukaryota; Metazoa; Chordata; Aves; Passeriformes; Paridae.
UCCCAGGAGGAAGGGACCCAGCGGUGGCCACACCGCAGGCAGUGGCUCCGCUCCUCGCCUGGCGUUCGUGCGAGCGGUCUCGUAGCUCUUUUCUUUUUUUAAUUCGUGUUUUAGAGUCCGAGCACCCGCGGUGCUCACCCCGCAGAGCGCAGGUGGCAGAGUACUUCAGUUUUCCAGCAGCAUUUGCACUUUAAAAAGACGGAACAAGAAAAGUGCAUGGAGUUGAGGAACAAGAAGCUGUGGGGUGUGAACUGCCCUUACCCUCUCUGGCUGAGUAACCAGAAAAGGUCAUGUGGGCAUCAGCGGAGAAGGCAAAAUUCCCUUCACUGUGGGUGGUUGUUAGCCAUUAAAUCCGGACAAAAAUGAUUGAAUCCCGUGUUUUAGACAGAAACUGCACAGAAAUGCUCAAAGAAUGCAAAGAGAAGGCAGGAGAGGAGCAAGAACAGUGCCUUUUGUGACUCGGCUCUAACCCCCUUUAUGUGAGGGUUUAUGUGAAGCAGAGUGUGCAGACAAUGGCUGUGCUGGACAGAGCACCACCAGAAGAUGGAUUUCACACAUAAAGGCACAUGUCUCAAAGUCAAAUUAAUAAAAAUAAAACAACCAGGGCAGCAGUGAUCAGAAGAGAGAAAAGAAAAUGUACACUGCAGAAUUUUUCUGGGAGUUUUGUACAUCCAUCCCAAGUGAUUUUCUGCAGUGGGAUCAUCCUCUGUGGGCCACAAGGUCAGAGCGCUUCCCAGGCAGGCUUUAAGUUAAAGCUGGUUCAAAGGUUUGCAUUUUUAUUUUUUUUUUGGGUGGGUGGAACAGCACAAAUUGACAUUCUGAGAUUUGUUUGCUUUGAAGCAGUGCUACUGAAACACAUCUCACUGUCCCUGUCAGCAGUUCAGGCUCCAUUCAGGGAUAAGUUCUGAAAAACCAGACAAUUUGUGCACUUAAGGGCUGAAAAUGAACUCAUUUGAAGGGUCACAGCUUCGUGCCUGUGAAACGAUGUCUUUGAAGAGUCUGGAACAGGCAAGUCAAGACUAAACUGGGCACAGGUCAAUUUUCCCAUGUUCUUCACAGCCACGGGGAGGAAACCACCCUGUUAAUAUGAAAUCUUCUCUCUCUGAAGAUGUUUUUGAAUGACAGAAUGGAAAAGGCUGUAUUUAACCCCUGUGGCAGGGAAGUUGGUGUGCUGGGAGCUUGGAGCUGGGGCAGAUUCCUCAAUUCCCGCUCCAGUGCACGUCCAAGGGCGUCUGCAGCCUCCCCUUCUUCCCCCCUUCCUAAGAGAUCUCAAACCCAAGCUUUCAUUUCCAUUUGUGACCUUUAGAACAUAUCAAGGUUAUCUCAAGAGAAAAGCAAGACCAGGUCAGUGUUCUUGAGCUGAAUUUUGGGUGUAUCCCUGCACUGAGGCACCUGAAAGGGGUCACUGCUGUCCCACAGAUGUCCACCCACAAGAAUUCCCAAUAUUUUCCAAUAGAACAGCAAAUGACAGCUGUGAGUGGAAAAUGAAAAAACCCUUUUCACUUCUCCACUAUGGCAAGGAGGAUUUUUAGGUCAAAGACCAGGAAAGAGUUGAAGAUCAAAACUAAAGAGCUGAUUUUUCUAUGCUUCUCUUUUGCUCUUGGUUUGAUUUCUGCUGUCUUGGAUGUCAGGAGAGAAUAUUCCUUGAAAAACCAUGUGCCAGGGGGAUGCUUCUGUGGAAGAUCUGCUGUGCAGCUGAGGAUCUUCAAGUUUUGUAAAUAUUGAUGGGAAAGAACAGUGAUUCCCAUUCUCCAGAAGAGAAACUGAAAUGGCUUUGAAAACUGAGAUCUCCAAAUUAUUCACAUUCACCGUGGAAUGAAGGCAAAAGAAACCUUUAUUCUAUUUUUACUCAAAUACCAGCUUUUAACACUAAACUCCUCUUCUUAUCUCACAUUCUGGAUUACUCCUCUCCAAGAUGACAGGAGCAGUGUGAAGAUAAAGCUGUUCAGUUUGUCAAAGAAAAGGCAGCAACAAUGUUGGGUUUGGGCAUUUGCUUACGCUUAUCUCACAAAAAUAAACAUUUCUUUUUCCUGUGCUGGCAUGCUGCAAAGUCUCCACUGUGUGAACAUAGAAUUUCCUAUUAUUUUGCAUUAUACUGUAUUACCUUUCUAGAGUUUCACAGAAAUUCAUAUCUAAAUUCCCCUGAAAUUCCAAGCUGAUGCUGAGGUCAGCACCUGGAAUUCCUGCCAAGAGGUUUAGGAGGUGAAGGUGGUGACAGAGCCCUGAGCCCCAGCUGCUGGUUGUGCCAAUUUGGGUGAAUUCCUGCUGGAUGACACAGCCCAGCUCUGUCCCUGUGCUCAGAGAGGAGGUGCUGGUUAUUAUCAUCACCCUGCCCACAGUUACUGUGUGCUAUUAAUUCCUGCUCUCUACAUUUCCAAAAAAAAUUAGCAGAUAAACUGGAGAUUUUUAAUGUUCUUUACAUUAUUAAGGAGCGCUGCUGUUUCAUGCCAGGGCAGAGGGAAGGUGGAACAACUCUGUAACUCUGGAGUAUUUUCUGCUGAAAGCUCUAAUAGAUAUGGAAAAUGUACCACAAAUCCGUUCUGUCAAACCCCAAAGGGAUGAGUUUGGACUUUAAGCAGUGGAUUGCUGUGAGCUGAGUGCAUUUGGCUCCCACUGUGUCCCUCAGAGCCACAAGAAAAUAUCCAAGCUCUGCCUGCCUGUGCCAUUAGUCAGGCACGAGGCACUGGGGCUGUGCUGAACUCAAUCCCCUCUGGGCCAGGUCCUGGUUCCUCCUGUUCCUGCUUCUGCUGCUUCAUCAGAUAAAACUCCUGAAAUCCUGAUUUCAGCUCAGGCCUCUCCUGGGCAGGGUUUGGUUUCAGGUCUGUGAGUGCUGAGCGCUGCCCCUGGGAAAAUGAGGUUUGUGUUUGCUGCUCUGGGGGGUGAAGCACAAAGGAGCUCCUCUGAUGUGGCCGCGAGGAAAAAUCUUCUUCCAGACUUUUGGGGGUCUGCCAACACCUUCCCCAUCCAAAGGACAGAAAAAAAAACCCCAACAAAACAAAACAAGAGAUAAAAGAAGAAAAAGGAAGAUUUGUACAGGUUAAAAACCACUGAGUAACACCACAGACAGGACAUAUUAAUGAGAGACCUCUGAGAGUUUAGGACCUUCAGAUUCAGGAGCAAAAAUAUCUGUUGUGCUCUCAGGUGAGGGGAUCCAGCAUGGUGAUGGUUGUGCAGGGAACACUGCUCCUCCUUAGCUGGAUUUUUCAAGGAAUACAAAGUGAUUUUUGAAACUGGCACUGCCAGUGCUGCUCUUAGAAAGGGAAUUAUUUCUACCUGCAUGUGUGUGACUGCAGGCCUUGCUUCAGGCAGUGUGGGAGCAGUUUUCAUGGAAGAUGGAGCUCAGAAGUUAAAAAAAGGCAGGAAUGAUGCUGCAGCUUCAGGCCCCAUAGAGAGAUCCCCAGUACAGGCCACAAAAAGCUCUUGGAAAAUGGAGAUGUUCCACCUUUAGGAUUAUUUAUUGAACCAGGUGAAUUGUGGAGUAAGGGAAAUACAGGGUUUAAUAUUUUGGAGACUGGAAUAUUCCCUGUUGAUGUCAAGAAGCCAGGUGAGGAAGGGCAGAGUGGCAGAGGCAGAUUUUCCCUUUCCUUUAAAAUAAAACCAGCACAAGGCACCAGAAGAGAAUGAUGGGAUUAUAAACCCCUGUGUUUAUUCUGUUGCUCAGCAAGAGGAGUAAAGGUCUUUGAGGGUGCUCAGCCCCAGGGGUUUCCCAGCACAGGGGAAUCUCCAGCUCCCAUCUGAGGCACAAACAGCAGCAGGAACUCCCCUGGGCUGCUCAGGGCCAGCUGACACUGCAGAACCUCUGCCAAGCACCAUGGGCAGGGCAGGGGCAGCUUUCCCUCAGCAGGGAUAAAGCUCAUUGGGAUGCAGAAAGAACCUAAUGAAAUUUAAUUACUAAUGUUGGAUAGAUAUGAAUAUAGAAGAGGCUGGAAUGGAGAAAUGGUAAGGUUGCUUUUGACUAACACGAGGUAUUUUGAAAGAAUGAGGGUAGAAAGGCGAGAAAAAUCUGCCUUCAUUCCCUCAGAUUACAAAAUAAUAAAACAAUUAUCUUUGGGGGA